Molecule: RNA transcript, 2400 nt
Organism: Corvus hawaiiensis (hawaiian crow)
Lineage: Eukaryota; Metazoa; Chordata; Aves; Passeriformes; Corvidae
Gene: ZMYND10
Gene name: zinc finger MYND-type containing 10
Exons: 14
Source: RefSeq, a predicted model, not a curated record
ACGCCAUGGCUGCCGUGCCCGGGCCGCUGCCACCCGCCGAGGCUGAGGCGUUGGUGCGAGCCCUGCAGGGCACCGAGCUGCGGGACAUCGGCGGGCAGGGAUGGCUUCGGCAGCAUGAGUAUGUGGAGAAGCUCAACAUGCACGGCAUCCUGAGUGCCUCAGCGGGCCAGGAGCAGCUCCUCACUGAGCUGCUGGUCACUCACGCCAAGAUUCCUGUUCUCAUUGGGGAGCUGAUUUCUGUGGAGAUCUGGAAGCACAAGGUCUUUCCCGUGCUGUGCCGGCUGGAGGACUUCAAGCCAAGAAGCACCUUCCCCAUCUAUGUGGUGCUGCACCACGAAGCCUCCAUCAUCAACCUCCUGGAGACAGUGUUCUUUUACAGGGAGAUCUGCGAGUCAGCAGAGGACAGCAUUCUGGAUUUGAUUGAUUAUUGCCACCGCAAGCUGACCCUGCUGGCAGCUCGGAGCACCAAGGCACAGGCAGUGACCUCGGCAGAGCUUCGUGCUGAGGGUCUGCCCAGCCCGUCCUCCAUGCAGGAGCUGCAGAAGCAGGCAGAGACGAUGGAGUUUGAGAUUUCCCUGAAGGCCCUGUCCGUGCUGCGGUUCAUCACCGACCAGGUGGAGAGUCUGCCCCUGAGUGCACUGACACGGAUGCUGAACACCCACAACCUGCCCUGCCUCCUUGCCGAGCUGGUGGAGCAUUGUCCCUGGAGCUGCUGGGAAUCAGGCAAGCUCAAGAAGUUUGAGAAUGGCACGUGGCACGUGGUGCCCCCUGAGGACCAGGUGAAGAUGACCAAACUCGAUGGGCAGGUGUGGCUUGCCCUCCUCAACCUCCUGCUCAGCCCCGAGUGCCAGCGCAAAUAUCGCUUCGAUGGCUUCAACAAGAGCCAGCUCCUCAAGCUCCGUGCAUUCCUGACAGACGUCCUCAUUGACCAGCUGCCCAACCUGGUGGAGAUGCAGAGAUUUCUGAGUUACCUUGCAGUGACAGAGCCUGCUCCCCCCAAAAAGGAUCUCAUCCUGGAGCAGGUUCCUAUAAUCCGGGACCAUAUCCUCAAGAAAAACUCGGGGAAGUGGGAGGCCAUUGUCAAGCACCAGGUGAAGCACGCCUUCAGCCCCAGUGAGGAGGAGCUGAAGUUCCAGGCACGCAGGUGGGCACAGACCUACAGCCUGGACAUGAUGGAGGCUCUGGCCCCUGACAAGCCCCGCUGCAGGGUGUGUGGUGUAGAAGCGGCCAAGCGCUGCUCUCGCUGCCGGAACGAGUGGUACUGCACACGGGCAUGCCAGGUCCAGCACUGGCAGAAGCACAAACCUGCCUGCAACCUGAUGGCUGAGGUGCCGAGGAGUGUGGAUGACCUGUAAGAGAAGUGGUGCCUGGCAUCUGGCCCAUGGCUCAGAGAGGCAGAUUCCCCUAGUGUGUAGCCCACAGCUGGCAAAGGCCCCUUCUGCCUGCUCCCAGCCCCAGGCAGCGCUAGCCAAGCUGAAGAUGGUAAACUGCUUCCUCCCUUCCCUUCCACACUGUGAGAGGCGUGUGUCCAUUUUCCCCUCUGCAACAACAGAAAUCCCAGAGAACCCGAAAAAGCCUAUAAGGUCGUGAUUACCUUACUGCAGCUGGGGAGGGAAAGAGUGAGAAGGCCUCUGUGCCGCCUCUUACCGUCAUUAGAGCAGCGUGGGGAGCAGAGGAUGUGGUUUGCACGAGCAUCUUGCUUGGUGUUAGCACCAAGGGCUUGGCCCCCUGCCUACCAGCAUUACCAGUAAACAGAGUUUACUGGUGGGAGUGCCUUGGGGUGCAUCCCCACCUCUCACUGGCCAGCAGCAGCUGCCGAAGGGCUGGAGCCUUGGUCUGAGCACAGCUGGGAAAGGUUGGCUGUAUCCUUUUUCUGAUGGGGUGCCUGAGGCUCCCUGACACAUAAAAAUAGGCUUUGCACCAGGGCUGCUGCUGUAGGAGCCACGACAGCAGGCAGGAAACCAUCUCGGUCCAGCUGCAGCCCCGGCUGAGCAGCCCGUGCUCGGAGCUGAAUAAACUCCUCACCCCAAACCCAGGCUGCACGUCCAGGGCUGCAGCCAGCCGGAGCAGGAACGCUCUCCGUAGCUCUCCGUCUGCUUCUCACGCGCUGCCGGGGUGCUUCCAGCCCCUUCCUCACUGGGAAACUGAGGCAGGGAGCGCAGUUUGUCCUGCUCCUGCGAGAAGAGGCAGAGAGAGCGGGGCUGCUGGAGCGGGCCCCCCCUUCCCCCGCGGCGGCUCCGGGAACCUCAUCCCCGCCUCCAGCCCGCCCCGCCGGGCUCGCCGGGGCUGGAGUUGGCGAUUGGGAGCCCGGGGCAUUGCGCCGUUCCCCCCACCUCUCCUGCCUCAGUUUCCCCGCGGUGCCCGAUCGGGGCGGACCCCUCCCGGUCCCCGCCCCGGCCC